AAACAAUCAAUUGAAGAAGCUGGGUGCCAAAUAAUGCCAGAAACAGGAGAUAAUUGUCGGGAUAACUGCCGACAAGAUGAUGCUGAAUGACUAUUUGUUUCCUAGAUGUCAACUCGCUACAGAAGCCGAAUGGAUUGGGGUAGAUGCAAGUUUGCACCAAGCGAUUCGGACAUCCACUAGCGCUGCGGAACAUCCACUGGCGCUUAUGAAAUGCUCCAUGACCUCCAUGAUGUUAUGCUCGCACAUAUAUCAAGGCUGUUGCUCAUCAUGUAACCAAAUCAGGGGGUUCUGUCCGGUGCUUAUUUGCUUAGUAUUCGGCUGCCAGUGAUUCAACAUCCGGAGGAUUUUUUACGCAAUAGAAUGACGUCGCGCUGGACCACCAGUGUCCGGAAUUACCGCCGAGACAGCCGCUGGGGAUAUUUUGACUGAUGGUGAACGAACCAGGACGAAAGAGGCUUUUGAUACGCGAUGCGGCAAGACAAAAAAGGGAAACAAAAAAGCCAGUCUGGGACACGUAUUUUUACUAUACUUUUAAAAUAUGAUCGAAUAAAAAGUUAUUCCAUGCAUCACAUUUAAAUGAAUCCCUUGUUUUAAUAUUACAGUGAUUACACUAAAUUGAAAUUAAAUUCCUUUUUGUUGGUCAACAAGAGUAAAAAAUACCCAUUAUCCAGAAUAUUUCAUUUUGAAUAAUGAG
Molecule: long non-coding RNA, 694 nt
Organism: Armigeres subalbatus
Lineage: Eukaryota; Metazoa; Arthropoda; Insecta; Diptera; Culicidae
Exons: 3
Source: RefSeq, a predicted model, not a curated record